AAUGGGUCAGCGACUUAUAUUCUGUAGCAAGGUUAACCGAAUAGGGGAGCCGAAGGGAAACCGAGUCUUAACUGGGCGUUAAGUUGCAGGGUAUAGACCCGAAACCCGGUGAUCUAGCCAUGGGCAGGUUGAAGGUUGGGUAACACUAACUGGAGGACCGAACCGACUAAUGUUGAAAAAUUAGCGGAUGACUUGUGGCUGGGGGUGAAAGGCCAAUCAAACCGGGAGAUAGCUGGUUCUCCCCGAAAGCUAUUUAGGUAGCGCCUCGUGAAUUCAUCUCCGGGGGUAGAGCACUGUUUCGGCAAGGGGGUCAUCCCGACUUACCAACCCGAUGCAAACUGCGAAUACCGGAGAAUGUUAUCACGGGAGACACACGGCGGGUGCUAACGUCCGUCGUGAAGAGGGAAACAACCCAGACCGCCAGCUAAGGUCCCAAAGUCAUGGUUAAGUGGGAAACGAUGUGGGAAGGCCCAGACAGCCAGGAUGUUGGCUUAGAAGCAGCCAUCAUUUAAAGAAAGCGUAAUAGCUCACUGGUCGAGUCGGCCUGCGCGGAAGAUGUAACGGGGCUAAACCAUGCACCGAAGCUGCGGCAGCGACGCUUAUGCGUUGUUGGGUAGGGGAGCGUUCUGUAAGCCUGCGAAGGUGUGCUUUGAGGCAUGCUGGAGGUAUCAGAAGUGCGAAUGCU
Molecule: ribosomal RNA, 685 nt
Filed under: Escherichia coli
Lineage: Bacteria; Pseudomonadati; Pseudomonadota; Gammaproteobacteria; Enterobacterales; Enterobacteriaceae
Description: partial 23S ribosomal RNA
Rfam family: Bacterial large subunit ribosomal RNA
Source: RNAcentral